UCAACUCUUAGCUCUCUGCUCUAUGAGACUUUGCCGACUGUUCUCUGACCCGUAGAAAAAGUCAGUGUCCAUCCUCGGCCUCUGAGUCAAGGAAGCAGCAGGAACGUUUCGUCUCAGGCUCUUUGUUGACUCUGACUUUGCUCAUCUGCUGACGUCUCUUAUCUGCUCUGUGAUCAGCUCCUUUGUCUCCAGCUUGGCGCAGACUGAGAGGUAAGAUUUGUCCCCUUACCUAGACUGUUCCAAAUGGCUCUUUCCACCUCUACUGGUGGGGCGGGGGGUUGUUUCGUGGCUGUGAUGGAUCAUCACCAUCAAAACAAGGGGCUCAGUGAAGAGCAGCCGCUUCCUCCUGACCCAGAAGAAUGCUUGAAGUGUGCAUAAAAACGUGACACAUUAUUUCAAGCCAGAUAUUAUUUCAUAUACAUUACAGAUAGUCCCCUGGACAUGAACGAGUUCCAUUCCAAGACCAUGUUCGUACGUCUGAUUCGUUCAAAAGUCCGACAAAGGUAGCCUAGGCACCCAGCCCACACAAUCAUCUAUACAGCCCUGCACUGCUGCAGGGUUAUAAUACUUUUCACACAAAUAAUACCUUAAAAACGAACCUAAAGUAAAGCACCUUUAAUCUUACAGAACAGGACGCUGAAAAGUGCCGUAGUACGGUCGGCCGCCGUCGGGGAGCGGGGAGCGGGCGGGAAGAGUCACGAGCGGGGGACAGAGGUGGGGACGGCGGCGUGAAGGGGCGCCGGCAGCAGGAGGCGGGGCGAGCUGCAGGCUCGCGCAGGCCUGAGGUUGGUGGCGCCGCGUCUAGUUCCUUUAAGGAGGGCCUCGGUGAGAGGCAGCACCUGCCACUUUCCACAAGCGGCCUCACUCCAGUCUGACAGGAAACGGUCAGACGGCGGCAGGCUCUGCGAUUUCCUCGGACGCGGCUGUUUGCCAGCGCACACCGUCAGCUGUCAGAGAAAGUCUCCUCCCCUAGCAGAUUUCUUUAGCUGCUUUGAGCAGGGCGCCCUGGACUUUCCCUUUGUAAAUUUCCUGCUGCUGUAAAUGGAGACCAUGCAACUCUGCUGGGCUUCAUUCCUUUCACCCUUAAAAUGAUGGCUUUCUGGCUGGUGCCCAUGGCCACAGAGAAGGCAUGGUACGACCACCGAGAAAGCACCGUUUGGGAAUAAUAGGUAGAAUUUCUCCGUGUUUUCAGCAUGAUGUCUUAACUAAUUGCAAAAUCCCCACAUCCAUGGGGAUUUCGUAUUUCACAAAUCUCUAUAACUGGUAGCAUUUCCUGGGUUCCUGGGCUUUCUCCAGUGACAAGAACUAGACUCCACUUGCUGACUCAGGUUUGUUUAUAGCCAGGCCACGCAAAGUCCACCCUCUAUCUGAACACGCCAAGAACACUCUCUGCUGUGGACCUGAAAGCUUAAUCUAGGAGCCAGUGGACCAAACCACGCUGUUGCCCGGCAACACCCCAGUUUUGGUUAAACCUGUAUGAAGGCGAUCAGCACUGGGAGAAGACGUACAUGAACAAAAUGAAUAAAAGGACUCUAUUUUUUGUACUUAUCUAUUCAUUCAUUCAUUUGAC
Molecule: long non-coding RNA, 1570 nt
Organism: Cervus elaphus (red deer)
Lineage: Eukaryota; Metazoa; Chordata; Mammalia; Artiodactyla; Cervidae
Exons: 3
Source: RefSeq, a predicted model, not a curated record